GUAAUAACCCUCGUGCCGGCGGUUUUAAGUUCCCAGCGAAGCGUGUUUUGCCCCCCCCCCCAAAGCACGGGUGCGGCCUCACGCCGGGCAGAGCCCGUGGCACAGCGCGUUGCCGCGUUCGCCCCGCGAGCAGAGAGCGCUCUCGGAAUCCCAGCACAAAACCGCGGAUUGAAGCCCUUCAGAGAGCCGGAGACCGACCGUGUUACGCAAGAGGCUCAAACACGGAGUUGUGUCCUUUGCCGUCGUUCCUUUGUAUUUAAUCCUCGGGACAACGUUUGCAUAAAAUGCUGAGACAACGGGACCGACUGAGAGGUGGACAAGACGGGCACAGCCGGACAUUGCUGACCACGACAGGCGUCUAACACUAGGUAAAGCAGCAUCGGAUGUCUCGGAGCAGAAAUAGCAGUUCUGGUACAGAGAUACUGGAGGCAAGCACAAACCAGCUAAAGUACUUUGUAUGCCACUCGUCAGGACGGCAUUAAAUGCAACUGAUGUGACAGUGGAACGCAUGUCAGGCUGACGGGCUGGCCUGUCUGUGCCAUCUCCCAGCAAUCAUUCCACAAAACCAAAGCCAGCUGCCCAGCCACCUGGACAAAACUACAUUACAGAUUACGUCAUUUAUAAGUUGCAUUGAUUUCUAGCAGGGUAGACAUUAAAAAGAGGCAUUUUAGUCCUUGCUAUGGCUUACUACUGUGGAUUCACCUGUGACAGUGGAAACUUGAAAGUUACAUACUGAAUUAAAUUACAUACUGAAUUAAAUUAAACAAAUCACAGUUAUUUUGUCAUCUCUGGAGUAGAGUACUGUGGGAAGGCCUCUACUUUUCAUUAAGGAAGAUGCUUCCUCAUUUUCUGCAGAAAAGGUCACUCUAUAAAGUGCACCAUGAAUUCUGUAGGUGUUGUGUCCCAGCUGUUUACUCGGCUCACAUCUGAAGCUUUCCUCCCCCUCAGACUGCCAGUGACCAAGCCUACCUUGGGACUUGAAAGUGAAGCUGUGGGGUUUUUUUUCCUCCUUUGUGCGUCAGUGUUAAUAAUAAAACUUAACAUCUGGAAUUCAGCAAUUCUUGGAGUGACCUCUGAGCGAGCAGCGAAUCUAAAGCAGCAUCCUACAGGUAGCUGGCACUGGCUCCAGUGCACUAAGAAGAUAAAAGCAGUACAGCACGAUUUGAUCAGCAGAGGAAACAGUUUGUUAUCCAGGACAUCCAUCGGGACACUGUCACCUCUCUUACAAGACCAGAUCUUCCUUGGAUCUCCCUGGAGUUUGUCAGUACAACCAAGAGAGUGAAGGCUGAUCACCCUAACCACCUGACCAUGGAGGAAGAAGACUGACCUAGGGACAUGGUCAGACAAGACAUGGAGAAUGGCUGUGGAGAGCUUAAAAAGCUUUGUCUUCUGAGCAGCUCGUUCUUUACUUUGGCAGAAGUUACUGAUUGUCCUUAGAAGGUUUGGCGGAACAGAACAUGGAGGGUUUCCUGCUCUGCUUUGGGGCUCUUGGGGUUUAGAGUUUUCCUUUAGUUUCUCUAUCUGAUGCAAGUUUGACCCAUCUGUCGCUAAGAAGCUGUAAUCGGCAAUACUUAGGAGAGACAAGAGAAGUUUCCAUGGGAAGGGUGUAGCUGGCCACUCCUAACUGGGGGAUUUCUCUUGGAGGGCCAGAGAUACCUGAGAACUGGGCUGGGGGAAAAGGGCCUGGCACAGCUCUCUUGCUCUCUUGGUUUUGGAAGAGGACGGUCGAGCUGCUUUCCUUGGGGAGGGAAUUCACUGUUGCUGCCAGAACCCAGCCCUGCCCUGUUUUCUCCUACCUCAGCUGAGCGUUUGCUCACAAGAGCAGCCAUUGAACCGGGACCAUACUGGCACCCUGCCUCACUGGAAAGGACCCUUGCAACCUGUUCGGUUGCGUCAGGGGAAAUGACCGUGACUCCUUCCCGGAGGAUGCUGGGUGUCCCCGGCUGCGUGUGGAGGAGCCCGGCUGCCGCUGCCCAGCCCCGCUGCUUUCUGCCGCUGCCUUGGGCUUUUUUUCCUGUGCUCUAACCCAAAGCCCUGCCUGCUGGGACACCCCAUAGCCCCUGCUGCAACCUGCGCCCUGCAGGAGGGGAGGAAUCGCUGCCCUGCCCGGCCAGGAGCCCCCAGCGCCCCUGCUGGCCGUGAGCGGAACUGCACCAGGGGAAGGUGCCCGCGGCCAGGAGAGCCUGGGCCUGGGUUUGUGAUUCUGUUUGGUGGUGUUGCUGCUGCUGCUGGU
Long non-coding RNA from Cinclus cinclus, 2233 nucleotides. RefSeq lists it as uncharacterized. The record is from RefSeq and is a predicted model, not a curated record. Lineage: Eukaryota; Metazoa; Chordata; Aves; Passeriformes; Cinclidae. The transcript has 3 exons.